UUACUUUAAAGGACUUCAUUUCUGAGAUUUCAAAAUACCCCUUGAUGUAUUGAAAAGUUAAUAGGAACCAAUUCCCUCUCCUAUCAAUAUGAUGAUCUUCUGAUCAUGGAACUUCUAUGUUCUGAACAAGCAAUAUCUUCCACAUGAGCUCCUGUUGCAAGACUAUUUAGAAUUGCUGUCAAAGUGUUCAGACCAGAGAGAUUCAG
RNAcentral lists this long non-coding RNA (206 nucleotides) under Mytilus galloprovincialis (Mediterranean mussel). The record is from RNAcentral. Lineage: Eukaryota; Metazoa; Mollusca; Bivalvia; Mytilida; Mytilidae.